Molecule: small nucleolar RNA, 70 nt
Filed under: Carlito syrichta (Philippine tarsier)
Lineage: Eukaryota; Metazoa; Chordata; Mammalia; Primates; Tarsiidae
Description: Small nucleolar RNA SNORD113/SNORD114 family (ENSTSYG00000019848.2)
Rfam family: Small nucleolar RNA SNORD113/SNORD114 family
About the family: The imprinted human domain at 14q32 contains two clusters of tandemly repeated small nucleolar RNAs named 14q(I) and 14q(II) snoRNAs.
Source: Rfam by way of RNAcentral
CAAAUCAGUGUUGACUAUUGUGGUAUAUGAAUCAAUACAAUGAGUACGUGUCUGAAACUCUGAGGUCCAG